This is an RNA transcript of Brassica rapa (field mustard), 1526 nucleotides long. It is a transcript of the gene named ABSCISIC ACID-INSENSITIVE 5-like protein 3, with no coding region annotated. The record is from RefSeq and is a predicted model, not a curated record. NCBI's taxonomy places the organism in Eukaryota, Viridiplantae, Streptophyta, Magnoliopsida, Brassicales, Brassicaceae.
UCAACUUCUAGUGUAACGGUUUCUUUCUUUCAUAAAGGCUCUUCUUUUCUUUCUCUCUCUCUAUCCAUUCUCUCACGUGGGUAAAUAAAGGAGAGAGAGAGAAGAGAAGAGAAUGUAUAUUUUGGUUUUGUAAUCUCUCCCUUCUGCACUGAACAAAGGUUUGCUUCAGACCCCAACACUUGUACACAGAGAAUCCAAGUUCCUUACUUCUCUUCGUCUGCUUCUCUAUCACCAGUUUGUUCCUUUCUUCACUAUCUCCUGUCUCUGUUCUUUCCCUUCAAAGUUUGUGAUUUCUAAGUAUAGUUAUCUUGAAUGCUGCAUGCAACCCCCUGUGAUUCUCACAGUCUGUUCUGCUUAUGCCUUUUGAUUAUUAGACAUUCUCUGUAGUUAGGUGUUUAGAUCGACCAGUGUUUCUAAUUUGCAUGUCAGAUAAACAUUGGUUUUGUUUCUCUCUUUUUGUAAGGUGAUACAUGGGUUCUCUUAGAGGAGACAUGGAAGAGCCUAUCCAUCAGUCACUACCUAGAGGAAACUCUCUCUACAGCUUAAAGCUCCAUGAGGUUCAAACCCACUUGGGAAGUUCCUCAAAACCGUUGGGAAGCAUGAACCUCGAUGAGCUUCUCAAGAGUGUCUUGUCUGCUGAAGCUAAUAACCCACCAGAAGAAGGAACAGAGGACGGGAUCACUCGUCAAGGAAGCUUGACUUUGCCUCGAGGUCUCAGCAGAAAGACAGUUAAUGAUGUCUGGAGAGACAUUCAACAUGACCAGAACGGAUGCAGUAGUAAUCCUAACAAGCAGCCUACACUCGGUGAAAUCACACUCGAGGAUUUGUUGAUGAAAGCUGGUGUGGUGACUGAGACAAUGACAGUCCCUCAAAACGUUGUCAACGUAGCUUCAAAUGGUCAAUGGGCUCAGUAUCCUCAGCAACAACACCAAGGGUUUAUGCCAUAUCCGGUCUGUGACAUGCAAGAAAUGGUGCCUCCAACGGCUCUGAUGAUGAGUGGAUUAUCUGAAACACAACAAGUGCAUGGGAGGAAGAGAGUGGCUUCAUCAGGAGGAGAGUUUGUGGAGAGGAUCGUGGAGAGGAAGCAGAAGAGGAUGAUCAAGAACAGAGAAUCUGCAUCACGUUCACGAGCUAGGAAACAGGCUUAUACUCAAGAAUUGGAGAUCAAGGUCUCAAGCUUAGAAGAAGAAAACCAAAAGCUUAGGAGGCUAAUGGAGGUGGAGAAGAUCCUUCCAAGUGAACCACCACCGGAACCUAAGUGGAAGCUCAGGCGAACAAGCUCUGCUUCUUUCUGAUCUUACAAGACUCUUUCUGUCUGUAUUUCUUGUUCUUCUGUGUUGGUUCAUAUUAGAGAGAGAUGCACCUUUGUUAUUUGUAUAUUUUGUAUACUUUAUCUACUCAAAACAAUGUCUUAAUUACUAUGCUGAUGCAGUGUCUAAUCAGUUCUGUAAUAUCACUCUGCAUCAUGUUUUUUUUUUUUGUGGAAUGCAAAUCAGAUCCUAAUGAAUCAUUUCUCUUUAGAGACU